AACUUCCUGGGCUGCUCGACGGUCGGAUAGGUCCUCGAGCCGAUGCGUACUACUCAGGUGGCUACUUCAGGUCAUUGUGAGCAAGUCCCCCACUGCAGGGGAAAGCCUAAUGUGGCACAAGCGGCCACCACCUUGAAUCUUAGGGUUCAAGGGCUACUCCGAAGGCGACAGCCCGGGAAGCUA
This 183-nucleotide non-coding RNA is filed under the name Tamilnaduibacter salinus. RNAcentral's name for it is "6S / SsrS RNA". It matches the Rfam family "6S / SsrS RNA". From Rfam's summary of the family: E. coli 6S RNA was the first non coding RNA to be sequenced, but its function was unknown until recently. It consists of 184 nucleotides that fold into an extended hairpin structure with a large single-stranded internal bulge. The record is from Rfam by way of RNAcentral. Lineage: Bacteria; Pseudomonadati; Pseudomonadota; Gammaproteobacteria; Pseudomonadales; Marinobacteraceae.